RNAcentral lists this ribosomal RNA (384 nucleotides) under uncultured bacterium. RNAcentral describes it as "bacterial SSU rRNA". It matches the Rfam family "Bacterial small subunit ribosomal RNA", at positions 30 to 416 of the family's 1533-position model. The record is from RNAcentral.
AUUGAACGCUGGCGGAAUGCUUUACACAUGCAAGUCGAACGGCAGCACGGGGCAACCUGGUGGCGAGUGGCGAACGGGUGAGUAAUACAUCGGAACGUGCCCAAUCGUGGGGGAUAACGUAGCGAAAGUUACGCUAAUACCGCAUACGAUCUACGGAUGAAAGCGGGGGAUCGCAAGACCUCGCGCGAAUGGAGCGGCCGAUGUCAGAUUAGGUAGUUGGUGGGGUAAAGGCUCACCAAGCCAACGAUCUGUAGCUGGUCUGAGAGGACGACCAGCCACACUGGAACUGAGACACGGUCCAGACUCCUACGGGAGGCAGCAGUGGGGAAUUUUGGACAAUGGGUGCAAGCCUGAUCCAGCCAUUCCGCGUGCAGGAUGAAGGCC